GCCUGGCUGGCUCAAUCGGUAGAGCAUGAGACUCUUGAUUUCAAAGGUUGUGGGUUUGAGCCCCAUGUUGGGUG
This 74-nucleotide transfer RNA is filed under the name Felis catus (domestic cat). It matches the Rfam family "tRNA". From Rfam's summary of the family: Transfer RNA (tRNA) molecules are approximately 80 nucleotides in length. Their secondary structure includes four short double-helical elements and three loops (D, anti-codon, and T loops). Further hydrogen bonds mediate the characteristic L-shaped molecular structure. tRNAs have two regions of fundamental functional importance: the anti-codon, which is responsible for specific mRNA codon recognition, and the 3' end, to which the tRNAs corresponding amino acid is attached (by aminoacyl-tRNA synthetases). tRNAs cope with the degeneracy of the genetic code in two manners: having more than one tRNA (with a specific anti-codon) for a particular amino acid; and 'wobble' base-pairing, i.e. permitting non-standard base-pairing at the 3rd anti-codon position. Lineage: Eukaryota; Metazoa; Chordata; Mammalia; Carnivora; Felidae. The record is from Rfam by way of RNAcentral. RNAcentral also lists the same sequence under 1 other name.